This 2097-nucleotide long non-coding RNA is filed under the name Cairina moschata (Muscovy duck). RNAcentral describes it as "domestica (muscovy Duck (domestic type)) lncRNA (ENSCMMG00000001371.1)". The record is from RNAcentral. Lineage: Eukaryota; Metazoa; Chordata; Aves; Anseriformes; Anatidae.
AUGAGCGGGGCCACCUCCACCCAGGGGAUGAGGGGGGUCGGCGGCGGCCGCUGCCCCCCCAGCGCCCCCUCUCCUCAGGGGCGGAGUGAGGGCGGGCAGGGGCGGCGCGGGCCCGGCCCCGCUGCUGCGCGGCCGCUGCUGCGCGGGGAGGGAGCGGCGGGCGCCGAGCUUCAAAUGAACAUUACCGGCGCUCGGCGAGGGCAGCGCCGGCGGCUCGGCCCGGUUGGCGGCGUUAGCGGCGACACCUCGUCCUCACCCUCACCUUCCUCCGCCACGGCGGCAGGAAAUUUCCAAAUGCCUGGCAAUAUGUGACACUGACAAGUGCUCAGCCUGGGGGUUUGAGCAAGACCUGAGCUGUUCAGGACACCAUUCACUUCCAGAUCUCAGGUGAGCUUGCAGAGUUAACACUACAAAAGCCAUGUUUGGAGUUUUUUUGGAAAUCCAUAAGCAGAGCAAGGACGUUCCGUUGGCAUACAAUGAAGAUAAAACCUGCAUCGUUAUGAGGUGCUCUCUUUUUUUUUUAAGAAGUGCUUUUCAUAACAUUUUGUACUCAGUUCCAAGUUUUUUGAAGUUAAUGGACACUGAAUCACAACCCAAGGACAGAAAGCCAUUUAUGUCAUUGGGGGGCUUUUUGUAACGCUGUCCAUGUGUGUCAGUCCAUUUGGUGCCCUUGUGCUUUUCCUAGAUGGGGCUGUUGUGUUACUUGCAUCUUCAAACCCUUUUUUUUUUUUUUUUUUUUUUACUUCUGCUCUAAAGUAGGAAAUUAUACCUUAUGAAAACCCUGCAAAAGGAAAUGAUGCAUAAUUCAAUAUUCCAAAAUAGAUAAGACUUCUGAUUCCAUUUAAAUUUGUUUGACAGAAGACAGAAUUUGACACUAUUACCUCUGUGGCUGUGGGGACUUUUUUUUUUUUUUUUUUUUAAACUACUUUUCAGAAACUUUUAAAUGGGAGAUAACUAAACACUGCAACUGAUGCAGACUAAGGGAAAUGAGCUUUAAUGUACCCUAGGUAUUCUCUCUGGGUUCCUGACCAAUACUUCAAAGAGGAAAAUGUCCUCAGAGACUUAUUCCUGUGAUUUCUACUGAGCCCAGCUAUUGUUGGGAUGGGAUUUUAGGAGCUUGCAGAGAGCAUAAAAAACCUGCAGAGCAAAGACAGGAGAAGUAAAGCUUGUAAGUACUUAUUAUUAAGCUAGUCCUUUGAUUUAACAGCUUCCUGGAACCUGGGAUAUGACACCAGUCACAUCUGGGGUAAAAUUCAUCAGCUGUUAGAAAACAACUACAAACGUACAGAAUGCAAUUACCAAAAUUGAAAUUAUGCCAUGACUCUGGUUAUAUUUCUCAAACUGCAUCUUUAACAGUCACAGAUCACAGCACUCCCCUUCUGGAUGGGACGCAACUAUAAGCAUACUGAGAAGAAUACAGUCACAGACAUAAUUUGCCUGGCAUAUAGAUUGGUUUUGCAUGAAGUAGUGCACUUGUGGUGGUAUUCCUCAAGAGGAGAGAGACAGCUUAGCUGCCAAGCAAUUUGGAUGAAUUGUGUCUGAACAGUGUUGGAACAGUGUUGGUUAUGGAAUGACAAAGGGAAUUAGUACUGUAUGUUGUUCCAAGCUUCUUUCUUCAACUGAGCAUCUGUGUAUCACAAUGCAUAUAGCUGAAACUGCUUUGGAUUCAUCUGUACAUUAACUCAUGCCCAAUGGUACCCCGCUGAUAGCUUUGAGUUCCUUGGGACUGUGAAGGGUUUCUUCCAAUAAUCUUGUUUAUUCACCUUCUCAGAUAAAACAGGAGGCAUUGCCUAAGCUAGAGAAAUUGUGACACAAACAAAUCCCACUUGUGAAGCUUUUGAGCAUCAUGAAACAAGAAAUACUUUGAAUCUUGGUUUUAUUAUUUAUUAUUUUCAGUUCUAGAGGAUUUUUCUUCCACAGCCUCUGUAAUGAAAAGAGGCUAAAAUGGGCUAAGAAGCAGAAAUUAGAAGUGCUUGAAGAAAUACAGGACUGAGUAUUGUAUGAAAGGGAUGAGUUGUUAGGCUGUGCUUCAAAGGACAAAUCUCUUACUCUUUAAUGCACUUUCUGGAAGGUUCUUUUUACUACAGAGUAAGGAAU